CCCUGACCUCCCUGGCACGGGUGGCCACUGGCAUUUUAUUACCUGUGCUUGUAGCCAGCAAAAUCAACAAGUAAGACCAUUAUGGAGAAAUCCAGAAAGAAACAGACACACUGCAGCCCAAGUUCUUCUCAGAUGGGAAAGCCAUCCACUCACCUUCAAUUCCAGAAGAGCUCAUCCCCAGAAGAAGACAGUGCUGCACCCGAAUCAGUUGGUAUGAAUCCACCACAGGAAUGACAGUAAGGAACAGACCAACAAUCAAGUAUCAGACCAUCCAUCCGCAAGAGUGAAGCUGAGCUGGUGGGCAGGGACCACUCUGACCAAGGCUGGAUGGCCCAGGACAUCUUUUGCCCCCUGAUAAGCCAAGUCCUAAAGUCAGGAUCUCAAGGACGGACUCCAAGGGGUCUGACUCCAAGGGGUCUGGGGAGGGGAGCAAUACGUGGAUGUAACCCUUAUCUGUUCCCCUUUCCAGUGCAGCCACCCCGAAUAAUCUCCAUUCUCCGCUUUUCACAUCACCCAUCUCUGACUGACUGAGCCUCGCUGGGAGCAGGGCUUUUUGUUGUUGGUGGUGGCGGUUUUGUUUUUUUGAGACAGUAGCCCAAGCUGACCCUGAACCUGCUAUGUAGCGAGGAUGACUGGGAACUCCUUAGGCUCCUCCCUCAAGGACUGAGAUUACCAGUGUUCACUACCUCACCUGAUGUACGCAGUACAGGGAGUGCCAGAGCUUCACACAUGAUAGGCAAGCGCUCUACCAACUGAGCUAGUACUAUCCCUGGAC
Molecule: long non-coding RNA, 775 nt
Filed under: Mus caroli (Ryukyu mouse)
Lineage: Eukaryota; Metazoa; Chordata; Mammalia; Rodentia; Muridae
Description: predicted gene 11365 (MGP_CAROLIEiJ_G0002813.1)
Source: RNAcentral